GUGAGGAAUUUUCCGCAAUGGGCGAAAGCCUGACGGAGCAAUGCCGCGUGAAGGAUGAAGGCCUAUGGGUUGUAAACUUCUUUUCUCAGAAAAGAAUUAUGACGGUAUCUGAGGAAUAAGCAUCGGCUAACUCUGUGCCAGCAGCCGCGGUAAGACAGAGGAUGCAAGCGUUAUCCGGAAUGAUUGGGCGUAAAGCGUCUGUAGGUUGUUUAAAAAGUAUUCUGUCAAAGAUUAGGGCUUAACCCUAGAUAGGCAGAAUAAACUUUUAAGCUAGAGUUUGGUAGAGGCAGAGGGAAUUCCCGGUGGAGCGGUGAAAUGCGUAGAUAUCGGGAGGAACACCAAAGGCGAAGGCACUCUGCUGGGCCAAUACUAACACUGAGAGACGAAAGCGAGGGGAGCAAAUGGGAUUAGAUGCCCUAGUAGUCC
Molecule: ribosomal RNA, 426 nt
Filed under: uncultured bacterium
Lineage: Bacteria
Description: partial 16S ribosomal RNA
Rfam family: Bacterial small subunit ribosomal RNA
Source: RNAcentral